CCAUGCCGCGUGUAUGAAGAAGGCCUUCGGGUUGUAAAGUACUUUCAGUUGUGAGGAAGGGUGUGUAGUUAAUAGCUGCACUCAUCUUGACGUUAGCAACAGAAGAAGCACCGGCUAACUCCGUGCCAGCAGCCGCGGUAAUACGGAGGGUGCGAGCGUUAAUCGGAAUUACUGGGCGUAAAGCGCAUGCAGGUGGUUCAUUAAGUCAGAUGUGAAAGCCCGGGGCUCAACCUCGGAACUGCAUUUGAAACUGGUGAACUAGAGUGCUGUAGAGGGGGGUAGAAUUUCAGGUGUAGCGGUGAAAUGCGUAGAGAUCUGAAGGAAUACCAGUGGCGAAGGCGGCCCCCUGGACAGACACUGACACUCAGAUGCGAAAGCGUGGGGAGCAAACAGGAUUAGAUACCCUGGUAGUCCACGCCGUAAACGAUGUCUACUUGGAGGUUUGUGGCCUUGAGCCGUGGCUUUCGGAGCUAACGCGUUAAGUAGAACCGCCUGGGGAGUACGGUCGCAAGAUUAAAACUCAAAUGAAUUGACGGGGGCCCGCACAAGCGGUGGAGCAUUGUGGUUUAAUUCGAUGCAACGCGAAGAACCUUACCUACUCUUGACCUCCAGAGAAGCCAGGG
RNAcentral lists this ribosomal RNA (623 nucleotides) under Vibrio sp. UST050418-602. RNAcentral describes it as "bacterial SSU rRNA". It matches the Rfam family "Bacterial small subunit ribosomal RNA", at positions 392 to 1002 of the family's 1533-position model. Lineage: Bacteria; Pseudomonadati; Pseudomonadota; Gammaproteobacteria; Vibrionales; Vibrionaceae. The record is from RNAcentral.